This 104-nucleotide small RNA is filed under the name Staphylococcus massiliensis S46. RNAcentral describes it as "Staphylococcus sRNA sau-13". It matches the Rfam family "Staphylococcus sRNA sau-13". The record is from Rfam by way of RNAcentral. Lineage: Bacteria; Bacillati; Bacillota; Bacilli; Caryophanales; Staphylococcaceae.
CCAGUGAUGUCGUUAGGGUGAGCUGAUUUAUCAAUUGAAGCACCUUCAACCAUUAAGAAGAAACCUUUGUCGUUCUUUUGUAAACGAUCUAAAGCGAUUGAUUG